GAUGAACGCUGGCGGCGUGCCUAAUACAUGCGAGUCGAGCGAACAGACGAGGAGCUUGCUCCUCUGACGUUAGCGGCGGACGGGUGAGUAACACGUGGAUAACCUACCUAUAAGACUGGGAUAACUUCGGGAAACCGGAGCUAAUACCGGAUAAUAUAUUGAACCGCAUGGUUCAAUAGAGAAAGACGGUUUUGCUGUCACUUAUAGAUGGAUCCUCGCCGCAUUAGCUAGUUGGUAAGGUAACGGCUUACCAAGGCAACGAUGCGUAGCCGACCUGAGAGGGUGAUCGGCCACACUGGAACUGAGACACGGUCCAGACUCCUACGGGAGGCAGCAGUGGGGAAUCUUCCGCAAUGGGCGAAAGCCUGACGGAGCAACGCCGCGUGAGUGAUGAAGGUCUUCGGAUCGUAAAACUCUGUUAUUAGGGAAGAACAAAUGUGUAAGUAACUAUGCACGUCUUGACGGUACCUAAUCAGAAAGCCACGGCUAACUACGUG
RNAcentral lists this ribosomal RNA (497 nucleotides) under uncultured bacterium. Its description in RNAcentral is "partial 16S ribosomal RNA". It matches the Rfam family "Bacterial small subunit ribosomal RNA", at positions 28 to 507 of the family's 1533-position model. The record is from RNAcentral.